GAAAGCGCGAAACGUAAUGUGAAUUGCAGAAUUCAGUGAAUCAUCGAAUCUUUGAACGCAUCUUGCGCUCCUUGGUAUUCCGAGGAGCAUGCCUGUUUGAGUGUCGUGAAACUCUAUCGACCCCACUUUCCUCUGUGGCAAGUGGGAUCGGACUUGGACGUCUGCCGGCUUCUCCAGUCGACUCGUCUCGAAAUGCAUCAGCUGUGGCCUGUCGUACAGUCAUCAACGGAAACAGACGGUGUGAUAAGAAACACUUGUGGCGCUGUCUCAUCCCGAGAGCCUCUGUUUAAAAGACGACCUCGCUUCCAAUCGUCCUCGGACAAACUUUCAUGUCAUCUGACCUCAAAUCAGGUAGGACUACCCGCUGAACUUAA
Molecule: unclassified non-coding RNA, 374 nt
Filed under: uncultured Ramaria
Lineage: Eukaryota; Fungi; Basidiomycota; Agaricomycetes; Gomphales; Gomphaceae
Description: sequence contains ITS1
Rfam family: 5.8S ribosomal RNA (bases 1-106)
Source: RNAcentral